CAUCUUGUUUUGAUCAGGGUAAUUUGAAACUUUCUUUUAAGACUUCCUGACUCUAAAGCAAGCAAUAGUAAAGCCAUGUUACGAGCCUUACGGACAUUGAAGUUGUUAAGGUCCCUGAAAAUGGCUAUAACA
This is a small nucleolar RNA of Otolemur garnettii (small-eared galago), 132 nucleotides long. The record is from Ensembl. Lineage: Eukaryota; Metazoa; Chordata; Mammalia; Primates; Galagidae.